RNAcentral lists this ribosomal RNA (503 nucleotides) under uncultured bacterium. RNAcentral's name for it is "partial 16S ribosomal RNA". It matches the Rfam family "Bacterial small subunit ribosomal RNA", at positions 30 to 523 of the family's 1533-position model. The record is from RNAcentral.
AUUGAACGCUGGCGGCAGGCUUAACACAUGCAAGUCGAGCGGAGUGAUGGUGCUUGCACUAUCACUUAGCGGCGGACGGGUGAGUAAUGCUUAGGAAUCUGCCUAUUAGUGGGGGACAACAUCUCGAAAGGGAUGCUAAUACCGCAUACGUCAUACGGGAGAAAGCAGGGGAUCACUUGUGACCUUGCGCUAAUAGAUGAGCAUAAGUCGGAUUAGCGAGUUGGUGGGGUAAAGGCCUACCAAGGCGACGAUCUGUAGCGGGUCUGAGAGGAUGAUCCGCCACACUGGGACUGGGACACGGCCCAGACUCCUACGGGAGGCAGCAGUGGGGAAUAUUGGACAAUGGGGGGAACCCUGAUCCAGCCAUGCCGCGUGUGUGAAGAAGGCCUUAUGGUUGUAAAGCACUUUAAGCGAGGAGGAGGCUCUUUUGGUUAAUACCCAAGAUGAGUGGACGUUACUCGCAGAAUAAGCACCGGCUAACUCUGUGCCAGCAGCCGCCGUAA